AGAGUUUGAUCCUGGCUCAGGAUGAACGCUGGCGGCGUGCCUAAUACAUGCAAGUCGAGCGAAUGGAUUAAGAGCUUGCUCUUAUGAAGUUAGCGGCGGACGGGUGAGUAACACGUGGGUAACCUGCCCAUAAGACUGGGAUAACUCCGGGAAACCGGGGCUAAUACCGGAUAACAUUUUGCACCGCAUGGUGCGAAAUUCAAAGGCGGCUUCGGCUGUCACUUAUGGAUGGACCCGCGUCGCAUUAGCUAGUUGGUGAGGUAACGGCUCACCAAGGCAACGAUGCGUAGCCGACCUGAGAGGGUGAUCGGCCACACUGGGACUGAGACACGGCCCAGACUCCUACGGGAGGCAGCAGUAGGGAAUCUUCCGCAAUGGACGAAAGUCUGACGGAGCAACGCCGCGUGAGUGAUGAAGGCUUUCGGGUCGUAAAACUCUGUUGUUAGGGAAGAACAAGUGCUAGUUGAAUAAGCUGGCACCUUGACGGUACCUAACCAGAAAGCCACGGCUAACUACAUGCCAGCAGCCGCGGUAAU
This 536-nucleotide ribosomal RNA is filed under the name soil bacterium RFS-I15. Its description in RNAcentral is "bacterial SSU rRNA". It matches the Rfam family "Bacterial small subunit ribosomal RNA", at positions 8 to 524 of the family's 1533-position model. The record is from RNAcentral.